AGAGUUUGAUCCUGGCUCAGGAUGAACGCUGGCGGCGUGCUUGAUACAUGCAAGUCGAACGGAGAGUGUAGCAAUAUACUUUUAGUGGCGAACGGGUGAGUAACGCGUUGGUGACCUGCCCCGAAGCGAGGGAUAACAGUUCGAAAGAACUGCUAAUACCUCAUGUGAUCACCGGCUUUAGAAUCUGGUGAUUAAAGGUGAAAAUCACUUCGGGAGGGGCCUGCGUCCCAUCAGCUAGUUGGUAAGGUAAUGGCUUACCAAGGCGAUGACGGGUAGGGGACCUGAGAGGGUGGCCCCCCACAAUGGAACUGAAACACGGUCCAUACACCUACGGGUGGCAGCAGUAGGGAAUAUUGCACAAUGGGCGCAAGCCUGAUGCAGCAACGCCGCGUGAGUGAUGAAGGCCUUCGGGUCGUAAAACUCUGUCCUAAGGGAAGAUAAUGACGGUACCUUAGGAGGAAGCCCCGGCUAACUACGUGCCAGCAGCCGCGGUAAUACGUAGGGUGCGAGCGUUAAUCGGAAUUACUGGGCGUAAAGCGUGCGCAGGCGGUUUUUUAAGACAGGCGUGAAAUCCCCGGGCUCAACCUGGGAACUGCGCUUGUGACUGCUAAGCUAGAGUACGGCAGAGGGGGGUGGAAUUCCACGUGUAGCAGUGAAAUGCGUAGAGAUGUGGAGGAACACCGAUGGCGAAGGCAGCCCCCUGGGCCGAUACUGACGCUCAUGCACGAAAGCGUGGGUAGCAAACAGGAUUAGAUACCCUGGUAGUCCACGCCCUAAACGAUGUCAACUAGGUGUUGGGAGGGUAAAACCUUUUAGUACCGGAGCUAACGCGUGAAGUUGACCGCCUGGGGAGUACGGCCGCAAGGUUAAAACUCAAAGGAAUUGACGGGCCCCGCACAAGCAGCGGAGCGUGUGGUUUAAUUCGAUGUUACACGAAGAACCUUACCAGGGUUUGACAUGCAAGUGGUAGGAAACCGAAAGNCGACCGACCCCUCGGGGAGCUUGCACAGGUGCUGCAUGGCUGUCGUCAGCUCGUGUCGUGAGAUGUUCGGUUAAGUCCGCUAACGAGCGCAACCCUCGUCGUGUGUUACAUGUGUCACGCGAGACCGCCGGUCUUAAGCCGGAGGAAGGUGGGGAUGACGUCAAGUCAGCAUGGCCUUUAUGUCCUGGGCUACACACACGCUACAAUGGCAAGUACAAUAGGUCGCGAAACCGCGAGGUGGAGCCAAUCCUCAAAGCUUGCCUCAGUUCAGAUUGUAGUCUGCAACUCGACUGCAUGAAGAUGGAGUUGCUAGUAACCGCAGGUCAGCUAUACUGCGGUGAAUACGUUCCCGGGGCUUGUACACACCGCCCGUCACGUCAUGGGAGCUGGCAACACCUGAAGCCGGUAUCCUAACCCGCAAGGGAGGGAGCCGUCGAAGGUGGGGUCGGUGACUGGGACGAAGUCGUAACAAGGUAGGUGUACCGGAAGGUGCGGCUGGAUCACCUCCUU
RNAcentral lists this ribosomal RNA (1492 nucleotides) under bacterium enrichment culture clone BA68. RNAcentral's name for it is "partial 16S ribosomal RNA". It matches the Rfam family "Bacterial small subunit ribosomal RNA". The record is from RNAcentral.